RNAcentral lists this transfer RNA (65 nucleotides) under Parafronurus sp. XL-2019. Its description in RNAcentral is "tRNA-Tyr". It matches the Rfam family "tRNA". From Rfam's summary of the family: Transfer RNA (tRNA) molecules are approximately 80 nucleotides in length. Their secondary structure includes four short double-helical elements and three loops (D, anti-codon, and T loops). The record is from RNAcentral. Lineage: Eukaryota; Metazoa; Arthropoda; Insecta; Ephemeroptera; Heptageniidae.
GGUAGGGUGGCUGAAUUAGGUGAUAGACUGUAAAUCUAUUUAUGAGGGUUAUUCCUCCCUUGCCA